Long non-coding RNA from Glossina fuscipes, 979 nucleotides. RefSeq lists it as uncharacterized. The record is from RefSeq and is a predicted model, not a curated record. The transcript has 3 exons. Lineage: Eukaryota; Metazoa; Arthropoda; Insecta; Diptera; Glossinidae.
GUAUGGAAUUUUGAAUUAUGUGAGAGUAUGAAUUUUAAAUUAUGUGAAAGUAUGGAAUUUUGAAUAAACUUUGUGCAGAAUUGUUGUUCGAAUUAUUGUUCAAUGAUACAAAUAAAACAGAUGAAAACAGACGUUUGCAGUCAUCUGAGAGUAAUUUAAUGAGCGGGCCUGAAAUCCACCUCGAAUCACAGUCAUCUGAGAGUAAUUUAAUGAGCGGGCCUGGAUUUCACUUCGAUUCAUAGUCAUCUGAGGGUAAUGAAAUAAAAUAAAUGAAAGCAGAAGUGAGCUGCACCGGAGAAAUGUGCUCGGAUUCGUGCUGGUAACAUUAUUGUCCGGAAUAAAUUUCAGAGAGAAAAUAGACACCAACAUCACGUGGUCGUAAGUUCCUCCGCGCGCCAUUUCCAUCCUCCUCGCAAUAUUCAUUGCAUUCCAAUGAUUAAAACACAAUAAGAUAAUAAAAAUUGCUCAGCAUAAAAAGACAAAUUUUUUUUUCCCCUGAAGGAUAUUAAGUAGCAGUAAAUAUGCUGAUCAGGUCUUACGUGCAGCGAAAGAACUGCCCAUGCUUAGUGUUGAUGCCACUUUGCAGCCCAUAGCACGUAUUACGUAUUAAAAUCAAUAUAUGGCCAAACUUUGUGUGGAAUGAUCGGGUACAUGGUAGAACAAGUCAAAAUUUUUGGUUACGGAUUGAAGAUCCCGAAUCCAAUUUUAUCUUUCAUUCUCAAUUGUUCCUGGUUUUUUUACCAAUCCGCAAUUACAAUUCUAUUACAAAAAUAAAUAAGUUCUGUUUAUGUGCUUUCUUCAUGUUAAAAUACAGUUUUUAGGCCACGCGCAAAUUUGUCUACAGCCUUUACUGCCACAAUAUUAUAUACGAGUAGCGAGUGACAGUAGUAUAUAUAUGGAGGAACGUCGACGCGAAUUUUUCGGCCUUUGCGUAUAGUAGUAUAUAUAUGGGGGAAUGAUGUCCACACACUUCCCCGCU